ACGGAGGGUGCAAGCGUUGUUCGGAAUUACUGGGCGUAAAGGGCGCGUAGGCGGUUUGAUAAGUCAGAUGUGAAAGCCCACGGCUUAACUGUGGAAGGGCAUUUGAAACUGUCAGACUUGAGUACCAGAGGGGAAAGUGGAAUUCCCGGUGUAGAAAUGAAAUCCGGAAAUCUCGGGAGGAAUACCGGUGGCGAAGGCGACUCACUGGCUGGAUUCCGACACUGAGGAGCGAAAGCGUGGGGAGCAAACAG
RNAcentral lists this ribosomal RNA (251 nucleotides) under uncultured prokaryote. Its description in RNAcentral is "partial 16S rRNA". It matches the Rfam family "Bacterial small subunit ribosomal RNA", at positions 525 to 775 of the family's 1533-position model. The record is from RNAcentral.